AGUGGACCAAAGUCAUAUAUACGCUUGUGCUUGCACAAAAGCGUAUAUAUGAUCUUGGGACACGCCCCGGGAUGAGCAUAAAAGCGGGGUGGAAGCUCCGCGAUAUGCGAAUGCCGGGAAGGAUUGUGAGAGUGCGAAGCACGGAACAAUCCUU
Molecule: small RNA, 154 nt
Filed under: human gut metagenome
Description: Clostridiales-1 RNA
Rfam family: Clostridiales-1 RNA
Source: RNAcentral